GUAGCUUCCUUGUCGUGUGGCCUCAGUCCUUCGCCGUCCCUCGCCGUCCUUCGCCAUCGCACGCCACCGCACCCCAUCUCUCGAAAUCUGCAGACAUCUUGAUUUUUCCCACGCUGUCUGUCAGGUCUCCGCCGCCACUCGACGCCAGGGCGCCGGGCCUUGUGGGCUGUGCUGCACCUCGGACGGCUUCGCACCAGCCAGCGCCCUCUCUCUCCUGCAGCACUCUGAUCUGCACCCCCUGAGGGGCUUCCACUGUCCGCGGGGUGAGAAUGCCCCUGGGAGUGUCACAUGACUGCCGCCCCAUGUGUGUGAGAGGCGUCCUCUGGGAGAGCAUGGAUCCUGAGGUCCCAGGAUUGUCAGCUGACCUCUGUCCUGUGUGCCCAGUGGCCCCAGGUGACGUGUCUUCAAGAAGAGGCUGAGCUGCGGUGCUUGUAAGGCAGGGUCUCAUUCUGUCACCCAGGCUGGAGUGCAGUGGUGCAAUGAUGGCUCACUGCAGCCUCGACCUGGGCUCAAGUGAUCCUCCACCUCAGCUUCCUGAGUAGCUGGGACCACAGAGUCAUGUGCUGUUCCUGGGGCUUGGAUGAUGUAGGGGAAGCAAGGUGAAAGUGGUAUCCCGUGGUUCCACGUUCUGUCCUGCUGUGGGGCUGUCCCUCACAUGCUUUCAGUGGCUGUUGCAGAGGAAGAGCCUCCGGAAAUCUGCGUGGGUAAAGUCUCAGCCUUAGAUCCAAGGACAGUCCAAGGAAGUCCUAAGACCAUGGAGUUGGUGAUCUGGGAUCUGGGUUUGCUGAUAUUUCUCACCGUGAAUCUCUUGGUGGUGUUUGUGGGCACGAGAGGGGCAGAGAAUGGAGAGUGAGGCUACCACAUGAAGCGUCACCAGAGCUGCUCCCUGCUGCCUGCUCAGAGCACCCCGGAUCCACUGUUCAAUCUGCACAAGAUUCGGGGUCCAGACAUGGGAGACUUCAGCUGCCUCAGAGGACCGUGGACAGGGAAGGCCAGCCUCGCAUCCCUCUGUCCAUGCCUGGAAUGACUUUAAUAACCAAGAGUUUUAUUUUUGAAUUUGUAGCUGUCGUUCACUUUUUACCCACCCAUUCAAUAAACCUUACAGAAUUGC
This 1111-nucleotide long non-coding RNA is filed under the name Homo sapiens (human). RNAcentral's name for it is "HSALNT0400957". Lineage: Eukaryota; Metazoa; Chordata; Mammalia; Primates; Hominidae. The record is from RNAcentral.